CCUACGGGGGGCAGCAGUGGGGAAUAUUGGGCAAUGGGCGCAAGCCUGACCCAGCAACGCCGCGUGAAGGAAGAAUGCUUUCGGGUUGUAAACUUCUUUUCUCAGGGACGAAGCAAGUGACGGUACCUGAGGAAUAAGCCACGGCUAACUACGUGCCAGCAGCCGCGGGAAUACGUAGGUGGCAAGCGUUAUCCGGAUUUACUGGGUGUAAAGGGCGUGUAGGCGGGGACGUAAGUCAGAUGUGAAAACCGCGGGCUCAACCUUUGGCCUGCAUUUGAAACUGUGUUUCUUGAGUACUGGAGAGGCAGACGGAAUUCGUAGUGUAGCGGUGAAAUGCGUAGAUAUUAGGAGGAACACCAGUGGCGAAGGCGGUAUGCUGGACAGCAACUGACGCUGAGGCGCGAAAGCGUGGGGAGCAAACAGGAUUAGAUACCCUGGUAGUC
RNAcentral lists this ribosomal RNA (443 nucleotides) under uncultured bacterium. RNAcentral's name for it is "partial 16S ribosomal RNA". It matches the Rfam family "Bacterial small subunit ribosomal RNA", at positions 338 to 795 of the family's 1533-position model. The record is from RNAcentral.